Molecule: long non-coding RNA, 2132 nt
Organism: Lycium barbarum (goji berry)
Lineage: Eukaryota; Viridiplantae; Streptophyta; Magnoliopsida; Solanales; Solanaceae
Exons: 3
Source: RefSeq, a predicted model, not a curated record
UUCCGUUCACAUUCUCCUCAAAGUAUGUUGUAUUAAUAACUAGUAUGGUCUUUUUUUUUUCGUUUUUUCCAAUCUUGCCAUUUGGCUAUUUUCUGUUUUUAUAAUGGUCAGAGUACCGCAUAACUUUUAUUUGGAAAACCGAGAUAGAAAAAAGCAUAAAUAUGGUGUUGUAUUGAAAGAGUAGAGCUGAGGAAAAGGGUGUAAGGGUUACUCCCAUUGAUUUCUCAGUCAUAUGUGUAAAGGGGCAAUUUUAUGAUUAGUUGAGUGUGAAAGAUAAGGGGAGAGAGAGAAAAAAAACGAUUGCAAACAUUAGUUAGAGAUUAUGUUGCUUGGAAUCUUCAAAAAUGUCAACGGCUGCGUGUUAGAUUCUCCAAAAGUAGUGUAAUUUGGAGAAUCUGACACGGGUGUGACAUUGAAAGUGAAGGAUCCCGCAACUUAGGUUAGAGACGCAAUUUCCUAUGGAAUAUAGUCAAACUUAGCGGACUACAUAUUCAUACUUGUUGACUCUUUAAAUUUUCAGAUGUACUUAGAUAAAUACAGGAAAUAUGUGUAUUUGAUUAUUAUUGAUUCUUCUAUAAUUUAAUUUAAUACAAGAAUUAAUUACUUUUGUGCACGGUGACUCUCAAUGGAUAAAUGAAGAGACGCUUUAAAUAUUUUAUUAAGACCUCUUGGUUCCAAGUUCCAGUUUCUAUCCACUUCACUAAAAAAGACAAUUUUUGCUCUGUAUUUUUGGGACUAAUCAAUGUUACAGAAUCAAGGUAUAAAAAUCGCCCUUUUCCCUUCUAUUUGGGUUAUAAGUUUUAGGCCUAAGACUAUCAACUUUUUCUAACAGAUAGUAUUAAAAUGGCUGCUGCUGAAAUGGAUAAAGAAGAUCGAAUAAGUUAUCUGCCAAGAAAUGUUAUAGAUCGUAUUCUUGAGCUCCUGCCUGUCGAAGAUGCAGGAAGAACUAGUAUUUUGUCCACAAAAUGGAGAUAUAUUUGGGCUAUGCUCCCAAAUUUGGUGUUGGAUAAGCUGUUUUGCAAAAAAGUAGCAGCAAGAUCUGAUUGUGUCUUCAAUGCAAUAGUAGACAAGAUUCUCUUACAACAUCUUGGAGAUGUUUUGAAGUUUGAUCUUGAUGUAUCAGCAGUAAAGUUGUCCCAGUGUCCAGAUAUUGAUCGAUGGAUGCUUUAUGUCACCAGGAAUGGUGUCAAGAAGCUAAAGCUUAACAUGUCAAAAGAUAGUACUUUCAAAGUGCCUUCUUAUAUAUUUAAUUGUCCAACCCUGACAAAAUUGAAACUCUUUAACUGUGUCUUCAAACCACCAAAAUCUUUUCGUGGCUUUCUGAAUCUUACAACGCUUUAUAUGGAAAAAGUAACCUUUGUGUCAACUACAGAAAUUAUCAAUGUCCCCCUUGUCAAUUUGACCUUGAUGCGAUGUAAUGGCACUCAAUUGUAUCAGCUGGGUCGAAGUCCUUGUGUUAUUUUGAGAGUCACUGUAAUCUUGACCUAAAUUGCUUUAUCAACUACAAAAAGUUGACAUAUUUAUAUCUCGAGGUUACUAAUUAUUCACCACCUGCUGAAAGAUUAACUUUGGAAAAGCUUCUUCUUAGCUUGAAUACACUUGAGGAGCUGACUAUUUGUUCACAUGAACUUGAGGUGCAGUUCCAGUUCCAAAAGGGCUUCCUUUUACGCUCAACUACUUGUGGCACCUACAUUUAGGUGUAGACUUAGGCCAAAUCGGUCAGACUUAUUAUGCUCUCGAGUUGAUUAAACGUUUCCCCAAUUUGAGUAAACUUGAGAUUUGGGUCCAGGGUAGCGACGACAAUGCUGAGCCAGAUUUGAAAUAUAUGGACACACCAACCUGCUUGGACCGACCGCUCAACAAGCUCGAAGAUGUUACUAUGCAUUAUUUUAAGGGUUCAAAAAAUGAACUGUUUUUCAUAAAGCUAUUGCUUGCUCGUACUCCAUCUUUGGUAAGGAUGAGUGUCGAGGCGAUUGAUUCUUUGUAAGAGUGGAAUAUUGCCAUAGAAUUGAUGCGUUUCCCUAGAGCAUCUCCCAAGGCAGAAAUAUUCUAUUUGACAUGAGGCUACAGAGGCAUGAUGCUAUAUGUUCUCAGUGUGUUCCGUUAAUUACUUUAAUAAACUUGUUCUUAAA